RNAcentral lists this ribosomal RNA (339 nucleotides) under Staphylococcus capitis. RNAcentral's name for it is "bacterial SSU rRNA". It matches the Rfam family "Bacterial small subunit ribosomal RNA", at positions 1 to 329 of the family's 1533-position model. The record is from RNAcentral. Lineage: Bacteria; Bacillati; Bacillota; Bacilli; Caryophanales; Staphylococcaceae.
UUUAUGGAGAGUUUGAUCCUGGCUCAGGAUGAACGCUGGCGGCGUGCCUAAUACAUGCAAGUCGAGCGAACAGACGAGGAGCUUGCUCCUCUGACGUUAGCGGCGGACGGGUGAGUAACACGUGGAUAACCUACCUAUAAGACUGGGAUAACUUCGGGAAACCGGAGCUAAUACCGGAUAACAUGUUGAACCGCAUGGUUCAACAGUGAAAGACGGUUUUGCUGUCACUUAUAGAUGGAUCCGCGCCGCAUUAGCUAGUUGGUAAGGUAACGGCUUACCAAGGCAACGAUGCGUAGCCGACCUGAGAGGGUGAUCGGCCACACUGGAACUGAGACACGG